This 497-nucleotide ribosomal RNA is filed under the name uncultured bacterium. RNAcentral describes it as "partial 16S ribosomal RNA". It matches the Rfam family "Bacterial small subunit ribosomal RNA", at positions 28 to 507 of the family's 1533-position model. The record is from RNAcentral.
GAUGAACGCUGGCGGCGUGCCUAAUACAUGCAAGUCGAGCGAACAGACGAGGAGCUUGCUCCUCUGACGUUAGCGGCGGACGGGUGAGUAACACGUGGAUAACCUACCUAUAAGACUGGGAUAACUUCGGGAAACCGGAGCUAAUACCGGAUAAUAUAUUGAACCGCAUGGUUCAAUAGUGAAAGACGGUUUUGCUGUCACUUAUAGAUGGAUCCGCGCCGCAUUAGCUAGUUGGUAAGGUAACGGCUUACCAAGGCGACGAUGCGUAGCCGACCUGAGAGGGUGAUCGGCCACACUGGAACUGAGACACGGUCCAGACUCCUACGGGAGGCAGCAGUAGGGAAUCUUCCGCAAUGGGCGAAAGCCUGACGGAGCAACGCCGCGUGAGUGAUGAAGGUCUUCGGACCGUAAAACUCUGUUAUUAGGGAAGAACAAAUGUGUAAGUAACUAUGCACGUCUUGACGGUACCUAAUCAGAAAGCCACGGCUAACUACAUG